CCUACGUGCGGCAGCAGUCGAGAAUCAUUCACAAUGGGGGAAAACCUGAUGGUGCGACGCCGCGUGGGGGAAUGAAGGUCUUCGGAUUGUAAACCCCUGUCAUGUGGGAGCAAAUUAAAAAGAUAGUACCACAAGAGGAAGAGACGGCUAACUCUGUGCCAGCAGCCGCGGUAAUACAGAGGUCUCAAGCGUUGUUCGGAAUCACUGGGCGUAAAGCGUGCGUAGGCUGUUUCGUAAGUCGUGUGUGAAAGGCGCGGGCUCAACCCGCGGACGGCACAUGAUACUGCGAGACUAGAGUAAUGGAGGGGGAACCGGAAUUCUCGGUGUAGCAGUGAAAUGCGUAGAUAUCGAGAGGAACACUCGUGGCGAAGGCGGGUUCCUGGACAUUAACUGACGCUGAGGCACGAAGGCCAGGGGAGCGAAAGGGAUUAGAUACCCGAGUAGUC
This 446-nucleotide ribosomal RNA is filed under the name uncultured bacterium. RNAcentral's name for it is "partial 16S ribosomal RNA". It matches the Rfam family "Bacterial small subunit ribosomal RNA", at positions 338 to 795 of the family's 1533-position model. The record is from RNAcentral.